CCAGGCGGCCGGAUGGCCGCGCGCGGGCAAUGGGGAAACCCGUCCGCGUGAGGAAAGUCCGGGCUCCACGGAAGUACGGUGCCGGUUAACGGCCGGCGGGGGAAACCCCAGGGAAAGUGCCACAGAAAGCAAACCGCCCGCCGUCCGCGGCAGGCAAGGGUGAAAGGGUGCGGUAAGAGCGCACCGCGUCUCCGGCAACGGCGACGGCACGGCAAACCCCACCGGGAGCAAGACCGAGUAGGGACGGCACAUGGCGCACUUCCGCGCCGCCGUCCGGGUGGGUCGCGCGAGGCGUCCGGCGACGGGCGUCCCAGAUGAAUGGCCAUCCAUCGGCGCGGUUUCGGCCGCGCCGGGGACAGAACCCGGCUUACAGGCCGCCUGGCGCC
RNAcentral lists this RNase P RNA (386 nucleotides) under Alphaproteobacteria bacterium. Its description in RNAcentral is "RNase P RNA component class A". It matches the Rfam family "Bacterial RNase P class A". Rfam says of the family: Ribonuclease P (RNase P) is a ubiquitous endoribonuclease, found in archaea, bacteria and eukarya as well as chloroplasts and mitochondria. Its best characterised activity is the generation of mature 5'-ends of tRNAs by cleaving the 5'-leader elements of precursor-tRNAs. Cellular RNase Ps are ribonucleoproteins. Lineage: Bacteria; Pseudomonadati; Pseudomonadota; Alphaproteobacteria. The record is from RNAcentral.